RNAcentral lists this ribosomal RNA (253 nucleotides) under uncultured bacterium. RNAcentral describes it as "partial 16S ribosomal RNA". It matches the Rfam family "Bacterial small subunit ribosomal RNA", at positions 524 to 776 of the family's 1533-position model. The record is from RNAcentral.
UACGUAGGGGGCAAGCGUUGUCCGGAAUCAUUGGGCGUAAAGCGCGUGUAGGCGGUUUCGUAAGUCUGCUGUGAAAGUCGGAGGCUCAACCUCCGAAAGCCGGUGGAUACUGUGAGACUUGAGUACGGAAGAGGAGAGUGGAAUUCCUGGUGUAGCGGUGAAAUGCGCAGAUAUCAGGAGGAACACCAACGGCGAAGGCAGCUCUCUGGGACGUUACUGACGCUGAGACGCGAAAGCGUGGGGAGCAAACAGG